GAAUUUUUCAAUUUAACAAAUUAGCUUAUUGGCUCUUUGAUCUCUUCGUUUGCGAGUUUAAUUUAGUUUUUCAAUGCAAAAUGUUCGUGAUAUUGGGAACGAAACAACUGAAAACAAGAUAAAAGAUGGAGGAAGAGCCAAACUUUGAUUCAAAUCAGGUCAUCGUUUGACGAGCGUAACGAACUUUAAAGUGACCCGAAGACGCGAUUCAAGAGCCAUAAAAGCAUACAAUGAAAAGUUCGAACUAGUUCCGUUUAAGGCGGUAAAGAAUCAAAAAAAUAUGGGCCUACUGGACCAUCAGAUUUCGUUCGAAGCCUGUAAAACAAAAGGGAACAUCAGACUGAUCACUU
Molecule: long non-coding RNA, 350 nt
Organism: Panonychus citri (citrus red mite)
Lineage: Eukaryota; Metazoa; Arthropoda; Arachnida; Trombidiformes; Tetranychidae
Exons: 3
Source: RefSeq, a predicted model, not a curated record